AACGGGCAAGGAGCUGCCGGCUCUCUAUAUCCCGCUGCUCAGAGGCGCUCUGACUCCAUUCACUUCAGAGUCCCACACUGUCAAGGACCUGUGCAGACUGGUGCAAGGCAAGCUCUGGAUAGCAAACAACGGCAGACUUCUCCCUUGUGAUUUUCCAACAGGACCUGCGCGAUUGGAUUAUAUUCUUCUAGGACUAUUAAAUAAUAUCAAAGAAAAAACGUGCGUCUAUAUUCUGGUUAUUCUGACGGCCGCGCGUUUUGUUUGGUCUUUCAGUCAACUGGGCUGAAGUUGGGAGCUUGUUUUUCAGGGUUGAAGGACAAGUGCAAUGCUCUUCACACCGGUCUCUGCCUGAGGAGCUGCAGAUCGAGCAGCCGCGCGGAUCUCGUUCAAGAGGACGCGGUCCAAUGUGAAUGACCAGAGACGGCGUCCAGCCUCUUCAGCUUUUCACAGCUGCAAACGAGUGCACGGAGUUCGACCGAGCCCGCUGAGCAGCUCGGACACCCCAGUUGUCCCCCCGAGGGGAUGGUUGUGGAUCCUGUGGGGCCAGGAGCGAUUCUGCGGCUCCUACAGAUUAGCACCUUUUUCUCGUUCGGGGUUCGAUCUGAAUUAAAGGGAGAUGAGAGGCGCACUUUGUUACUUCCUGCUGUGGACGACGUACCUGCUGCUGGCCACCUCUGAGGAAGUGGAGUUUCCCCAGGAGCUGAUAGACAGACUGUCCCACAGUGAAAUCCACAGCAUCAGCGACCUCCAGCGGCUACUGGACAUUGACUCCGUAGGUACGGGAAACAAUGUUAUCGAGGAACCCAAGCACCACAAGCACCACAACCAGCAUAAGAACUACUCCCGUCAACACGGUUACUACAACGACCUGAAGAGCUCGCAGCUCCACAGCCGACGCAAGAGGAGCAUUGUAGAGGAGGCGGUCCCGGCGGCGUGUAAGACGCGGACGGUGAUCUACGAGAUCCCCAGGAGCCAGGUGGAUCCCACGUCUGUCAACUUCCUGAUAUGGCCACCCUGUGUGGAGGUGAAACGCUGCACAGGCUGUUGCAACACAAGCAACAUGCGCUGCCAGCCGUCCCGCAAGCACCAUCGCACCGUUAAGGUGGCUAAGGUGGAGUACGUGAAGAGGAGACCCAAGCUGAAAGAGGUCUUUGUGCGGUUAGAAGAUCACCUGGAGUGUGUGUGUGCAUCACAACAUCAUGUGGUGGAGCACUCCGAUGCAGAAACAGGCCACCGUAGGGCUAAAGGUAAAAAAAGAAAACCUAAAAAGCUAAGGCCCAGCAAGGAAAUAUUGGCGACAUAAUAAAAGUUGCACUCAGUACCCAAAGUCCACUGAAGAGCUGUGGAGGGAACAGUGGACGUGAGGUGAGAGCAAUCGGAGCAAAUGACUUCAGCGUGGGAGGGACCUCACAAAGGAUGUCACCAACAGGAGGCCCGCUCGCUCCUCUUCCACACAGACCUUCAUUUUAAAAGGACAAGACUCCAGACUAAAAAAAAAACAAACAACAGACCUAAAAGAAUGCCAAA
Molecule: RNA transcript, 1527 nt
Organism: Pungitius pungitius (ninespine stickleback)
Lineage: Eukaryota; Metazoa; Chordata; Actinopteri; Perciformes; Gasterosteidae
Gene: pdgfab
Gene name: platelet-derived growth factor alpha polypeptide b
Exons: 7
Source: RefSeq, a predicted model, not a curated record